RNAcentral lists this ribosomal RNA (77 nucleotides) under Streptococcus anginosus. RNAcentral's name for it is "partial 16S ribosomal RNA". The record is from RNAcentral. Lineage: Bacteria; Bacillati; Bacillota; Bacilli; Lactobacillales; Streptococcaceae.
CUUGUACACACCGCCCGUCACACCACGAGAGUUUGUAACACCCGAAGUCGGUGAGGUAACCGUAAGGAGCCAGCCGC